Molecule: long non-coding RNA, 558 nt
Organism: Ctenopharyngodon idella (grass carp)
Lineage: Eukaryota; Metazoa; Chordata; Actinopteri; Cypriniformes; Xenocyprididae
Exons: 3
Source: RefSeq, a predicted model, not a curated record
CCUGCAAAGUUUUUCUAUAUUUUCUUUUUCUUUUAUUUAUUAUAAAUGUGUGUAGAUUUAUAACAUUAUACUUAGUAUUAUAUUACCGUUGCAUCAAAUUACAAAAAAAAAAAAAAAACUAGUUAAGGCUGCUGUGAGGGUGUUUCUAACAGUGGCUAUGGAAGUGAUGGUAAAAAUUCUCUCUUUAACGGCCUUAAAAUUUUACCCAACUAUGACGACUUCCGCUUCUGAGAAACAAGGAAAUGUGAAAAGGGUCUAUAACAAAAUAAACAACAAAAAUGACAGCGGUAAAACGCAAUUGAUCACAGUGAUGAGGCAGCAGGUCUGCGAUUCAUCGACAUCAUGUCGACAGAUGAGAAAACCAAACCAUGUUAUUAAGAGUACGAGAGAGAUGGACAGACGGAUGGAGAGACAGAUAUUGUUCUGCGCAGAUGUGAUUGUGAUGCUGUUGAUCAGGAGCGUGAGCUGCUGAACCUGAACCUGAGCCAGAACUGGAGGAGGAGACGUGUUACUCCAGACAGACAGCGGCGCGGCUUCAUUCUGCUCGAAAACACCAGG